AUGGACUCUCACUCUUCUCACCUCAACGCAGCCAAUCGUUCUCGCAGCUCUCAGACUCCCUCUCCUUCCCACUCCGCCUCCGCCUCUUCAUCCCUCCACAAACGCAAACUCGCCGCGUCUGAGGAUCACGCUCCUCCCUCCACUUCCUUCCCUCCUUCCUCCAACGACGACCUCGAGAGCCUCUCCGCCGCGCGCGGAGCCGAUUCCGGCUCAGACCCCGACGAAUCAGAGUACGCCGUCCACGACGGCUACGAGGAAGACUUCGCUCCCGAACCGGAUCACGACUCUUCGAUCCGCACAUUCACCGCCGCGAGACUCGAUGUCAACGGUUCGAGUCGCAACGCUAAGAUUAAGACGGAGGAGAUCUCAACGGUGGAGCUUCAGGCUGGGACUGGGACAGCUGGCGCGAUUGCGCCGAAGGAUGAGGCUGCUAAGAUAUUGACCUGCGGGGCUUACAUUGCGAGAGAAGAGGCUUUGAGGAGAGAGGAAGAAGCUGGGCGGCUCAAAUUUGUCUGUUACUCUAAUGAUGGCGUUGAUGACCAUAUGAUGUGUUUGAUUGGUUUGAAGAACAUAUUUGCAAGACAGCUGCCUAAUAUGCCAAAGGAGUACAUUGUUCGCCUUCUCAUGGAUAGGAAACAUAAGUCUGUCAUGGUCCUAAGAAAAAAUGAGGUUGAAGGUGGCAUCCCUCUUGUUGUAGGUGGUAUCACGUAUCGUCCAUAUCACAGGCAGAGGUUUGGAGAAAUAGCUUUUUGUGCAAUCAGCGCAGAUGAACAAGUUAAAGGCUACGGUACCAGAUUGAUGAACCACUUGAAAGAACAUGCACGAGAUGUUGAUGGAUUGACGCAUUUUCUUACUUAUGCUGACAACAAUGCUGUUGGUUAUUUUCUCAAACAGAGUUUUACUAAAGAGAUUUACUUGGAGAAAGAUGUAUGGCAUGGGUACAUCAAAGACUAUGAUGGUGUCCUACUUAUGGAAUGCAGAAUUGAUCCAAAGCUUAAAUAUACAAAUUUGUCAAGCAUGAUUAGCAAGCAGAGAAAAGCAAUUGAUGAAAUGAUAAGAGAGUUAUCAAACUGUCAGAAUGUGUAUCAAGUUGCUGAAUUUCAAAAGAAAGAAGGUGGAAGUUCUAAAAAUAUCAGAGUUGAGGAUAUUCCUGGCUUAAGGGACGCAGGUUGGACCCCAGAUCAGUGGGGGCACACGCGUUACACAUUAUUCAGUGGUUCUGGAGAUAGUGUAACAAAGCAAAAGCAGUUGAAUGCACUUAUUCGCGGGCUUUUGAAGACAAUGCAAGACCAUUCUGAUGCUUGGCCUUUUAAAGAACCAGUUGAUCCUCUCGAUGUUCCUGAUUACUAUGAAUUUAUUAAAGAUCCCAUUGAUCUGAAGACAAUUGGGAAGAGAGUAGAGUCCGAGCAGUACUACAUGACACUUGACAUGUUUGUGGCUGAUACGAGAAGGAUGUUUAACAAUUGUAGAACUUACAACUCCCCAGAUACUGUGUACUACAGAUGUGCAACCAAGUUGCAAGCACAUUUCUUUAGCAAAGUACAAGCAGCUCUCCAGUCUGGUGCUAAAUCUCAAUAGAAGAUGGUGAAUUGAUAUUAUGCUAAGAUACUCUCGUCGGCACUGAAAUACUUAUUUCAAAAGCUAAAGUAUAUUUUAUUAUUUAUUAUGUUGACUUGAGCGUGGAUUAUGUAUGUGUAUAUGUAAUAUAUUUGCAAACGAACAUAUGUUUAGAAUAGUAAUAUGAUGGUGAAGUGAUAUUUUGCUAAGGUACUCUCGUCGGCACUGAACAAGUCUUAAGGUCAUUUCCAAUCUACUCGCAAAACUCUAUUUUAUUGUGA
This is an RNA transcript of Brassica rapa (field mustard), 1838 nucleotides long. It is a transcript of the gene named histone acetyltransferase GCN5, with no coding region annotated. The record is from RefSeq and is a predicted model, not a curated record. Lineage: Eukaryota; Viridiplantae; Streptophyta; Magnoliopsida; Brassicales; Brassicaceae.